RNAcentral lists this ribosomal RNA (406 nucleotides) under uncultured bacterium. RNAcentral describes it as "bacterial SSU rRNA". It matches the Rfam family "Bacterial small subunit ribosomal RNA", at positions 355 to 775 of the family's 1533-position model. The record is from RNAcentral.
UGGGGAAUAUUGGGCAAUGGGCGAAAGCCUGACCCAGCAACGCCGCGUGAGGGAAGAAGGUUUUCGGAUUGUAAACCUCUGUCCUUGGGGACGAAAAAGAUGACGGUACCCAAGGAGGAAGCCCCGGCUAACUACGUGCCAGCAGCCGCGGUAAUACGUAGGGGGCGAGCGUUGUCCGGAAUUACUGGGCGUAAAGGGUGCGUAGGCGGUUGUUUAAGUCAGAUGUGAAAUCCCCGGGCUCAACCCGGGUAUUGCAUUUGAAACUGGGCAGCUAGAGUGCAGGAGAGGGAAGCGGAAUUCCUAGUGUAGCGGUGAAAUGCGUAGAUAUUAGGAGGAACACCAGUGGCGAAGGCGGCUUUCUGGACUGCAACUGACGCUGAGGCACGAAAGCGUGGGGAGCAAACAG